CAGGGCCACCGCGGUGCCGAAGGUCUCAGCCCCGAGCGGACGCAGCCCCGGGGGCCACCCGCCAGCAGGGUGGGAGCAGCCAGGGCUCGAGGCGGCGGGCGCCAUCGCCAACUCGACAGCGCGUCCCAGUACCUUGCUCGGGCUCCUUUCUGCUCCAGGAAGAAAACGGAGGAACCCACAGCGGGGGAGGGGCCGGGAAGGCGCCCCCGGCCUCUCAGCAGCUUGGGAAUUCACUCACCUUGGCGCCCCAAGACCUGGAGGAACCGACAGCUGGUUGGUAGAAAACUCAUCCGAGGGGAGCGAAGAGACAAAAGUAAACUAUGAAAUCUGGAAUCAUGUUUUCAGAAUAGAGCUCUGAGUUGGAACCAGUCUGCCAACAGAGUGAAUUCCUGCCUUCCUGCAUAGCUGGUACGUUUAGCUCUGGAAUGGGACAGUGGGAGGGCAUAGGUCAAAGCAGGCACCGCCACUGUGUUUAGGGGCAUGUUUACUGAAUCGUUGGCCCUUGCUUUUGCAUCACAAAUGAUAACCAAUUGGAAAUGAACACGUUUAUUUUUUGAAGUACCACCUUUCAGGAGCUUACUUACUGUACUCAGAUGAAAUGUUUAGGCACACAUACUGCCAAUAGCAGCAUUUGCUGUGUGUGCUACUCAGGAAGCUGUGGUUUAAAGGUAGUUGCAGUUGAUAAGUUCAUGAGACUACACCUCCACAUGACAAGCAAAAAGCAGACCUAGAGACAUGGUUCAAGUGGCAGAGUGCCGGCUGAACAAGCAAGCUGAGCGUCCACAGGCCCUGAGUUCAAAUUCCAGCACAACAACAACAACAGCAAUAAUAAUUCAACUCUCAAUACAUUUUUGUAUAUGUACAAAUAUAAACAAAAUUAUGACUAAAUUCUAAUAAUAUAUGUUCACAUAUGCUCUUUUCGUACACAUGGUCUAUUUUGGAAUAAAUAAACGGGAGUGGUAUUAUAUGGAAAAUGAUGUGAAAUAUAUACUAUUUAAAGAAUAAAAAGCAGAGACCCUUGUAUAUACCAUUUAAGUUGAGAGACAGAACAUGAUGUGAAGCUCAGCGUCUCUCCUGGCUUGCAUCGUUUGCCCAAGCCCUACCAUUUCCCUUUUUAUUUUCUCCUUAUAAAUGGCCCCUAAAUAACAUAAUUACUUAACUGUGUGAAAAGCACAAAAGAGACAAAUGGAGAAUGCUCAGUCUCCCUGAGCACCACCGAGAGCCCCUGCAGAUCAGCAGUGGGUCCUAGGACGUGAAGGCAGAGGGCUGUUCCGUCCUCC
Molecule: long non-coding RNA, 1280 nt
Organism: Perognathus longimembris pacificus (Pacific pocket mouse)
Lineage: Eukaryota; Metazoa; Chordata; Mammalia; Rodentia; Heteromyidae
Exons: 4
Source: RefSeq, a predicted model, not a curated record